AUACUUACCUGGCAAGGGAGAUACCAUGAUCAAGAAGGUGGUUCACCUUUAGCGAGGCUCAGCCAUUGCACUGAGGCUGUUGCUGACUGGAUGAGGAAUUCCCCAAAUGUGGGAAUCUCGAUUGCAUAAUUUCUGGUAGUGGGGGACUGCGUUCGCGCUCUCCCCUG
The sequence is a small nuclear RNA, 167 nucleotides long. Its record names the gene U1. It matches the Rfam family "U1 spliceosomal RNA". Rfam says of the family: U1 is a small nuclear RNA (snRNA) component of the spliceosome (involved in pre-mRNA splicing). Its 5' end forms complementary base pairs with the 5' splice junction, thus defining the 5' donor site of an intron. The record is from Ensembl.